AGGACGAACGCUGGCGGUGUGCUUAACACAUGCAAGUGGUGCGACGAACCAGAGCUUGCUCUGGGGCAAAGCCGCGAACGGGUGAGUAACACGUGGGUAAUCUACCCCGAUGACCGGGACAACCCGAGGAAACUCGGGCUAAUACCGGAUGUGGUACGGAGACAUAAGUCUCUUUACUAAAGGUAGCUUCGGCUUCCGCAUUGGGAGGGGUCCGCGGCCCAUUAGCUAGUUGGUGGGGUCAAGGCCUACCAAGGCAACGAUGGGUAGCUGGUCUGAGAGGACGAUCAGCCACACUGGGACUGAGACACGGCCCAGACUCCUACGGGAGGCAGCAGUGGGGAAUCUUGCGCAAUGCGCGAAAGCGUGACGCAGCAACACCGCGUGAGGGAAGACGGCCUUAGGGUUGUAAACCUCUUUCAGAUGGGACGAAGGUGAUGCGGUGAAUAGCCGAUGUCAUUGACGGUACCGUCAGAAGAAGCUCCGGCUAACUACGUG
This 495-nucleotide ribosomal RNA is filed under the name uncultured bacterium. Its description in RNAcentral is "bacterial SSU rRNA". It matches the Rfam family "Bacterial small subunit ribosomal RNA", at positions 26 to 507 of the family's 1533-position model. The record is from RNAcentral.